Molecule: ribosomal RNA, 693 nt
Filed under: uncultured bacterium
Lineage: Bacteria
Description: bacterial SSU rRNA
Rfam family: Bacterial small subunit ribosomal RNA
Source: RNAcentral
AACGCUAGCUACAGGCUUAACACAUGCAAGUCGAGGGGCAGCAUGAACUUAGCUUGCUAAGUUUGAUGGCGACCGGCGCACGGGUGAGUAACACGUAUCCAACCUGCCGAUGACUCGGGGAUAGCCUUUCGAAAGAAAGAUUAAUACCCGAUGGCAUAGUUCUUCCGCAUGGUGGAACUAUUAAAGAAUUUCGGUCAUCGAUGGGGAUGCGUUCCAUUAGGUUGUUGGCGGGGUAACGGCCCACCAAGCCUUCGAUGGAUAGGGGUUCUGAGAGGAAGGUCCCCCACAUUGGAACUGAGACACGGUCCAAACUCCUACGGGAGGCAGCAGUGAGGAAUAUUGGUCAAUGGACGAGAGUCUGAACCAGCCAAGUAGCGUGCAGGAUGACGGCCCUAUGGGUUGUAAACUGCUUUUAUAAGGGAAUAAAGUGAGUCACGUGUGACUUUUUGCAUGUACCUUAUGAAUAAGGACCGGCUAAUUCCGUGCCAGCAGCCGCGGUAAUACGGAAGGUCCGGGCGUUAUCCGGAUUUAUUGGGCUUAAAGGGAGCGUAGGCCGGAGAUUAAGCGUGUUGUGAAAUGUAGAUGCUCAACAUCUGCACUGCAGCGCGAACUGGUUUCCUUGAGUACGCACAAAGUGGGCGGAAUUCGUGGUGUAGCGGUGAAAUGCUUAGAUAUCACGAAGAACUCCGAUUG